RNAcentral lists this transfer RNA (73 nucleotides) under Ignavibacteria bacterium. Its description in RNAcentral is "tRNA-Thr". It matches the Rfam family "tRNA". From Rfam's summary of the family: Transfer RNA (tRNA) molecules are approximately 80 nucleotides in length. Lineage: Bacteria; Pseudomonadati; Ignavibacteriota; Ignavibacteria. The record is from RNAcentral.
GCUGGCGUAGCUCAGCUGGUAGAGCAGCUGAUUCGUAAUCAGCAGGUCGUAAGUUCAAAUCUUAUCGCCAGCU